GAUGAAGAACGCAGCGAAAUGCGAUAAGUAAUGUGAAUUGCAGAAUUCAGUGAAUCAUCGAAUCUUUGAACGCACAUUGCGCCCGCCAGUAUUCUGGCGGGCAUGCCUGUCCGAGCGUCAUUUCAACCAUCAAGCCUCGUGCUUGUGUUGGGGACCUGCGUCCGACGCAGGCCCUGAAAACCAGUGGCGGGCUCGCUGUCCACACCGAGCGUAGUAACUAACCUCGCUAUGGAGUGGCGCGGGCGCCUGCCGUAAAACCCCCAAUUUCACAAGGUUGACCUCGGAUCAGGUAGGAAUACCCGCUGAACUUAUGCAUAUCAAUAAGCGGAGGA
This 332-nucleotide unclassified non-coding RNA is filed under the name soil metagenome. Its description in RNAcentral is "partial contains 5.8S ribosomal RNA, internal transcribed spacer 2, and large subunit ribosomal RNA". The stretch from base 1 to 120 matches the Rfam family "5.8S ribosomal RNA", at positions 35 to 154 of the family's 154-position model. The record is from RNAcentral.